Molecule: long non-coding RNA, 5301 nt
Filed under: Sus scrofa (pig)
Lineage: Eukaryota; Metazoa; Chordata; Mammalia; Artiodactyla; Suidae
Description: lncRNA (ENSSSCG00040073912.1)
Source: RNAcentral
UUUUUCUUUUCUUUUUUUCGUCUUUUGAGGGCCACACCCACAGCUAGGGGUUGAAUCGGAGCUGCAGCUGCCAGCCUACACCACAGCCACAGCCACAGCAAUACCAGAUCUGAGCCACAUCUGUGCCCUACACCACAGAUGACGGCAACGCUGGAUCCUUAACCCACCAAGCCAAGCCAGAGAUAGCAUCUGUGUCCUCACGGACGCUAGCCAGGUUCAUUUCCAUUGAGUCACAACGGGAACUCCCAAGAUUGUAUACUUCUUUAGGAUUGAGUCAUUAUAAUAGGACUUAUGUCUUCUUCCCGAUUGGUUAUUUGCAAGCUAUCCAAUAAAGAGCAGCUGGAAUGACCUUGGGCUGGACCAGUGUUGCUCUGUGAAUGCUAAUGGCCUACAUGCUCUCUACAAACCUAAGGAAGGGCAAUAAGAAAAAAUCUUGGACCCUUGGAAAGAUUGUCUAGGUAAUGACAGAGCUUCAGGAUUUGACUAAUUAUAUAACCCUUGGUCUUAUUAACAGUAUCAUGCUAUAAUUUCUCUCAAUACUUCACUUGAAGAAAUCUUCAAGAAAAUAGUUCCAUGCUUUGACUUUGCCAGUCAAUCAAAGAUUUAACCUGAAUCUCUACAAUCUUAUUGUGAUGGGAAUUUUAUCUCCCAAAAACUUCAGAGUGGGAAUAGAUUUGGAGUAAAUGCUAAAAAGUGUGUUCUAUGAAUUCUGUCUAUAGGCCUAGGCUUACAAAUAACCACCAUAUGAUACUAGAACAACAAAAUAAAAAGCUAUUCAAAAUAUACUCAUUGCUUUGGAUCCCAAGUGUUGCUUUGACCAACUGUCAAUUGCCUGUGCUUCUACGUGAUGGUAUUUUUAUUUCAAAAAUCUUGGCUGACAAGAUUUACUAGAUUUUUAAAUUUUUUUACAACCAUAACAUGUCUUUGGAAGUAAUAUAGUGAUUAAUACUUAAUGAAACAAUAUCUGGUUAGGAUUGAAAAUUAUAAGCCAUUGAAUAAAAUAGUACUGUUUGCCUUAUAAACAAGAACAGUAUUUCAUGGGAAGGACAUAGGCUGUUCUGUGAACAGCAAAAUGACUUUUAGGCCACACAUAUAUGAUAAAUGUUCACACCUGGCACUAGUGGGAAUGGCAGUGGUCAUGUCUAAUAAAUAAUGUGUGAAAACCAAUAGGACAGUUACAGAAACACUCCUGCUUGUUCAUGGCAUAAGGCCAAAGUUCAGUUGUGUAGGUAUUACGUUUUUGACAAAACACCCAGUCUUACACCAGACACAAAUUUCUAGUUUCCUGAACACAGCACUUGAUUAAUGUAAGGCAUGUGCUAAGUAAACUGUAAGAUUCAUAUAAGAAACUAUAGUCAUUUUCCUUUGCGUCAUGAUGUCACACAAGACUAAUGUCAAAUGGAAGAAGAAAUAGGCCAAAAUUUUCUUGAAUCAUCUCAGUUAAUGGAUUUAAACAAGACAUGGUUAUGUUCUUUGAAGCAAUGCAUGAUUAAAAUCAAACUACUUGGUGAAAAAAUUAGAGACGAGAUUAUUGAAGUGUUGGGGAAAAGUUUGUAGUAUAAUAAAUUAACUUUUAAUUAAUGGAAGAUAAAUGACAUAAUAGGAGGUUAAUUUUUCAGUGUACAAAAUCGAUGACAAAAUAUCUGUCUAAUGUAGGUUUCAUCAUGUCCUGUACUUUCUUUACCUCCCAAAUAUUAUUUUUACAACUCUGUGGGAAUAAUUCCAAAAGAUACUCAGGUAAAUAUGUACAUACCAAGGGGGAAAAAAAAAUCAAUAUUUUAAGCUGGCAUCAAAAAGAAAGAAUUUGGUAUAGUUUUAUUUAUUGGUUUUAUAUGAAAAUUAGAUAAAAUAAAAAUGAUACAUACUGCAUACUCACAGCUUUAUAUUUUAUGUUUGUUUUUCAAAUAUAAAAAGGUGGAUGUGUAUGGCGAAUACACACUUAAUUACUUUUUGCCUUUUCUAUAUUUUGAUCAGUUAGCAAAGUGUCAAGAAAAGUGUUGGUACUGACUUUUUAUUAUUUUCUCUCUAAAGUGUUGUCAUCGAAGAAAUAUAUAAUUUGAGGUUGUGAAGAAGCCUUUUUUAGAAGGCUUUCUUCUUUCCUUUGUAUACCCUGUAGUAGAAGUACAUUUUAAAAAUCCAGCAAGAGAAAGAAGUAGAGAGGAGAAAACGAUCAGGACAUAAAGCCCUUUAGAAAUAAUCAUGUUCUUUAUUAAUAAUCGUAUGAUGAUCUGCCAUCCUAUAAGCUCCUGAUCGUACCGAUGCUUAUUACCCAGCAAGAUGGAAAUGGUACAUUUGGUCCUUGUCCUAACACAACACAAUGCCUACGGUUUUGCCAUGGAAACAUUCAUAACUUUACGUGCUUGGAAGUCAAACAGUUUCCAUUAACUCCAUAAAGGGCAGACAGAUAAUUUUCAAGAAUAUUUGAGGUGUUUCCAUCAUGGCUGAGUGGAAACAAAUCUGACUAGCAUCCAUGAGGAUGCAGGUUCGAUUCCUGGCCUUGCUCAGUGGGUUAAGGAUCCAGUAUUGCCAUGAGCUGUGGUGUAGUUUGCAGACACAGAGUGGAUCUGGCAUGGCUGUGGCUGUGGCAUAGGCCAGUGGCUAUAGCUCCAAUUCAACUCCUAGCCUAGGAACCUCCAUAUACCAUGGGUGCAGCCCUAAAAAGACUCACAAAAAAAAAAAAUUGAAACACUAAAGGCUACCAAGCUAAGUGCCCCAGGAAACAAUUUAAACUAUGAUAAAGGCACUUGACCCAUAGUUCUAAAGUUGCUGACUAAAUACAUUCAUGAUAAGCAAUAGGCAAGACCAGUGAGACGAAUAUGGGAAAGCUUGAAUGUGAGGCCCCAAGUUUGAAUGUUGACUCUUUCAGUGAGUUUAUGAGGCUAGGAGAAAAACUGUUGUCUACUAAAACAGCAACAACAGCAACAAAAAACCCCACAUUCUCCCCAAACAUACAGCCAAUCUAGUAGAAGCUAUAUAUUUGGUAAUCCAAUCCAAGUAUUUGACAUUUCCUUUAAUAGGGGCUUAAACAGGUAACCUAUAUGGUUUAUGUUCCAUCUUCCAGAUAUGAGCAUGAAAAUAUUUUAAAUUCGUGGUUGUAUUUCUAUAUUUAAAUGUCAUUUGUGAGGUUGAAAAUGGAGUACUAGUCUAAUACUGGUACUAUUUCCCUCAUUCUCUUAUUUGUUUAAUAAAUAGACUGCUUUAUUCUGAAAAGUGUUUAAAAUUGCUUAUUUUCUGGAGUCAUUCUUAAUACCUAUUCUCUAAAAGUUCUAUGCUGUAAAAUAUCUUAACGUGAGGUCAGCAGUGUGUCUACAGGUUCUAAUUUUAGACGUAGAUGUUAUUUUUCUCAUUGUUUUAGAUUAUUCUUGUACAUAACCGAUUUUUUUAAGGUAAAGCUUUUCAAGUUGCCAUCUAUUCUACAAGGUUUUUCUGUUAGUUCUUCAAAAUGUAAAUGCAGAAAAGCCCUAAAAUAUAGGAAAAGAGCACCAUUAAGAGCAAUUCAUUGAAACACCAGCUUGCAAAGUGGUGCCUUGAUAUGUUCAGUAUUUCUCAUCUCAAAUGUAACAUUGUUUUUAAAAUCUCUACUAACACUUUGCAUGCUUAUGAAGAGAAAUGAACAUAUAAUUUUCAAAAGGCUUUUCUGGGGCAAGAUUGUAGAGAUUAACCAAAUGAGGUUGGAAAAGAUUGAACUAAAUUUAGGGCCAAAUUAAGCUAUCCUAGACACACACACACACACACACAAUCCCCAAAAAACCCUGAAGUCCUAAACUUAUGAAUAACUAGUGCUGACUUUCUUCUCUUUGCUGAGAGUGGACUGUCAGGUUUUCUCACGGAGUUGUCUUCACCCACUGCUAAGGUCAGUGGCCCUACCUGUAUUUCAUGGCAGUGACUUUACAGUGAAUUUAGUCCAGCGUCUUAGCUCUCUGCCUCCAAAGUCUUCUGUGUCUUAUCUGGCCUGCACACAGAACAGUUUAUUUAUCCUUAAUUAUUAUGUACUUAUGUCACUUUUGACUACCUGCAGGAUAAAGCAUGAUCCUUCAGAACUUACCCUGACCAACUUGGAAAAUGUUGACUCCUAUAUUUGCAAUCUCAUAGAUAUAACUUAAAUUUUUUUUAAUUUUUAUUUUUUUUACAACUUUGAAAGUUACUUUAUAUUUAUAGUUAUUAUAAAAUAUUGAUUAUAUUCCUCAUGUUGUACAAUAUAUCCUUGAGCCUAUCUUAUACCCAACAGUUUGUGCCUCCCCAUUCUGCCCCCUUCCCCUGCACACUGGUAACCACUAGUUUGUCCUUUAUAUCUGUAACUCUGUUUCUUUUUUGUUAUAUUCACUAAUUUGUUAUAUUUGUUUUUGUUUGUUUUGUUUUGUUUUUGGCUCCACCCAUAGCAUGCCGAAGUUCUUGGGCCAGGAAUUGAACACCAGCUUCAGCAGUUGACAACAUUGAGUCCUUAACCAUAAGGCCACCAGAGAACUCCUGUUGUAUUUUUUAGAUUCCACAUGUGAUAUCAUUUAGUAUUUAUCUUUCUCUGACAUUUCACUAAGCAUAAUGUCCGCCAUGCCAAUUAGACAAGUUGCAAUAAUCUUCUCAAUCUUUUUGUUAUUUAUAUUAAUUCUGCACAUUUGAUAUCAAUUGAUCACAAUAGCUCAUCAUAUUAUCUCCUAAUCAAGAACUUCUGGAGCUCUAGUAUUCUUACAUGUAUAUUUCAUUUAUUCAGUAGGGGAACUAUAGCUCUCAUAGAAAAUAGCCAAGUGACCUGAAGGUAUUCUUUCCCUCUUCUUUAUGAAUGUAAAUGAGGCAUAGGUGUGUGGUCAUAUCUAUAUCUAUAUGUAUACACACAUAUAUGUAUGUAUAUAUAUUCACCAUCAUUUAUUUGAAUUUUUAAACUUUAUCAAAAUUUAUUGAUUUUAGUUUCUGCAGUGUGUGAUGCAGUGUGCUAAGUAAGUAAGAAUAUGUCAUAUCCUCAAGGAACACUUAGGUAGUGACAGUCAUAAAUAUGCAAGUGAAUAAUUUAAAACAGAAUGGUAACCAUUUACAUAAUAAUUUUGUAUAAAAUGCCUGAGUUGAGCAUAUGAAAAGUGAUUGACUAGGACAAAGAUUUUUUUCUUGAUAAACUGGGGUGGGGGAGUCAUAAAACUACUACUAAUGUUUAACAAUGAUCAAUUAAGCAUUUUAUAUGUGACUAAGUCAAAGAGAUUAUCUUUAGUAACCCUAUUCCAUCUCCAAAACAAACCUUUGAGGCAGGCAUAUCAUUAUCUCAUUUUAUAGAUGGGACAACAGAUGCUCAAGAUGACUAAGCAACUUUCCCUA